Long non-coding RNA from Vicia villosa (hairy vetch), 1842 nucleotides. RefSeq lists it as uncharacterized. NCBI's taxonomy places the organism in Eukaryota, Viridiplantae, Streptophyta, Magnoliopsida, Fabales, Fabaceae. The record is from RefSeq and is a predicted model, not a curated record. The transcript is spliced from 9 exons.
UUGCGGCUACUCGUGUCUCUUUGAUUGCUGCAACUGGUUGAAGAAGGAAAGGUGUUCUGCGACUGAAGGAAGAGGGAAAGGUGAUCUACGAUUGCUGCGACUGUAGGAAGAGGGAAAGAGGGAAAAUUAUUGUUAAUAGUUUAAGCUUGUUUUAAAAGAAUGAAUUCAUCAUAUAAGGAUAUCGCAAGACAAUAGAAGAGAAUAAAAAAAAAAGAAGAAGGCUCUCAAUCUGACUCAACUCUCUCAAUUUAUUUACAAAUCUUCUUCGUCAUCUUCAAAAUCAUUAUGGUCUCUAAAGAGUCGUUCGAUGUUUGUACAACCUGGAGAUCUUGAAAUAUCCAGGAAGUGCCUACGUUCAGCGGCAACUCCACCAACUACGAUAAAUCCUCCGACAACUACACCAACAACAACAACAACAAAACCCCUCCACCACUCCAAACUACACCAACUACCCAUGUUACUACGCAAACAACAACAAUAACCCCUACCCCAAUCCAAACUACAGAACCAUGACUUUCUUCAGAGACAUUUCCUGACCAAGCCAUUUCAUCCCCUCAUUCUGAAGAUGUAGAAGAAGAUGAGCCAGAAAUUGAUCAAGUGAAUAGUUCUGAAUAUUGAUGAGGCACGUCAUAUUUCAAACACACGCUUAUGUGUGCAAGAUUUGAUUGGAAGAACUCCUGAUGGAACAAGGAUAAUUAUUGAUAGGGAUUCAAAUGGUCUUCUAGUAGGAUCAGCAACUCGUUUGUUAGUAGGAUAUUUAGGUAGACUUGUCAGAAUGUUUCAAGACCUUCCUAUAAUGUUCGAUAGUUGGAGAAAACUUCCAGAGGAAAACAAAACAACAUUUUAUAAUUCAAAAAUAAAGGCUCAUUUUGUUGUUGGUGAAGAUGGAUAGGACAAAAGAUUGAUUCUUCUUUCCACGGGAAAGAAAUGGAGAGAUGCUCGAUGUCGUUUGUUUUCUAAAUAUUAUAAAUGGGAUCUCACAUUGGAGGAAAAUCUUAAAACUUCUCCAAAAAGUAUUGACAAAAACGACUGGGCUGUUUUUGUUCAAUAUAGGCGGAAAGAAAAAACACAGAAAAUAGCAAGAACAAAUGCUAGAAAUAGAGAAAAAUUGAGAUUCCGCAUACACUCGUAUCUAAGUCGCUUGCAAGGAAGCGACAUGAGUUGGAAUUAAGAGAUGGAUGGACAUAUAGCAGAGGAGAAAUGUAUGCAAUUUGUCAUAAAAAGAUUGACAUAUCUUUUAUCAAUGAAGAUGUCCACAACAACAAUGAGAAAUUACAAGCUGCAAUUCAAGACUCUCUUUCUCAAAAUGAAGCAUUUGAGAAAGUCUUUGGAAAAGAACAUCCUGGACAUGUUCGUUGUAUGGGACUUGGAGUACCACAUCUUGAAUUAAUAGAUCUACGAGAUCUGCGUCUUUUUCUGAAGCAAAUGAAAAAAUGAAGGAAAUGCAAGAAGAGAUUGAUGCACUUAAAGAAAAGAAUUCAAGAAUUGAUGAGUUGAUGGAGCAAAUUGCAUUACUAAAGCAAAUGGACAAUGCUAGGAAGGAGGAGAUUGCACUCUUAAUGCAAAUGCGAAAUUCUAGUGGAAGUCAGGGAUCAUACUUAGAAUCAUCUAGAGAUGGUAGACGUUCUUCUGAGUCUAGCUACCGAGUUGAAGAUAAUGGAACAUCAAGAAAGACUAAUUAGAGAUUAAGAUUUGAUAUGAUUUAAGUUUUUUGUAUUAUAAUGCUUAUUAUCAAGAAUGACUAUGGAUCUUGCAUUUUUUUGGCAUUAUGAUGCUUAUUAGAAGAUUAAGAUUUGAUAUGACAUUAUGAUUAAGGAACUUGCACUUUUUCUUGUAUUAUGA